This 646-nucleotide ribosomal RNA is filed under the name uncultured Actinomycetes bacterium. RNAcentral's name for it is "bacterial SSU rRNA". It matches the Rfam family "Bacterial small subunit ribosomal RNA", at positions 232 to 885 of the family's 1533-position model. Lineage: Bacteria; Bacillati; Actinomycetota; Actinomycetes. The record is from RNAcentral.
CGCGGCCUAUCAGCUUGUUGGUGGGGUAACGGCCUACCAAGGCGACGACGGGUAGCUGGUCUGAGAGGACGACCAGCCACACUGGGACUGAGACACGGCCCAGACUCCUACGGGAGGCAGCAGUGGGGAAUCUUGCGCAAUGGGCGAAAGCCUGACGCAGCGACACCGCGUGGGGGAUGAAGGCCUUUCAGGUCGUAAACCCCUUUCGGCAGGGACGAAGCGAUCUCGUGACGGUACCUGCAGAAGAAGCCUCGGCUAACUACGUGCCAGCAGCCGCGGUAACACGUAGGAGGCGAGCGUUGUCCGGGAUCAUUGGGCGUAAAGAGCGCGCAGGCGGCUUGGCAAGUCGGGUGUGAAAUCCCGGGGCUCAACCCCGGGACUGCAUCCGAUACUGUCAGGCUAGAGGUAGGUAGGGGAGAUCGGAAUUCCUGGUGUAGCGGUGAAAUGCGCAGAUAUCAGGAGGAACACCGGUGGCGAAGGCGGAUCUCUGGGCCUUACCUGACGCUCAGGCGCGAAAGCUAGGGGAGCGAACAGGAUUAGAUACCCUGGUAGUCCUAGCCGUAAACGUUGGGUGCUAGGUGUGGGCGGAUAUCAACCCCGUCCGUGCCGAAGCUAACGCAUUAAGCACCCCGCCUGGGGAGUACGG